GGAUGCGAUCAUACCAGCACUAAGGCAUCGGAUCCGUCAGAACUCCGAAGUUAAGCGUGCUUGGGCGAGAGUAGUUUGGGCGAGAGUAGUACAAGGAUGGGUGACCUCUCGGGAAGUCCU
This 120-nucleotide ribosomal RNA is filed under the name Triticum aestivum (bread wheat). Lineage: Eukaryota; Viridiplantae; Streptophyta; Magnoliopsida; Poales; Poaceae. The record is from RNAcentral.